Molecule: ribosomal RNA, 203 nt
Filed under: uncultured bacterium
Lineage: Bacteria
Description: partial small subunit ribosomal RNA
Rfam family: Bacterial small subunit ribosomal RNA
Source: RNAcentral
AGGAUGAACGCUAGCGGCAGGCUUAAUACAUGCAAGUCGAGGGGCAGCAGGUGUAGCAAUACAUGCUGGCGACCGGCAAACGGGUGCGGAACACGUACAGAACCUUCCUUUAAGUGGGGGAUAGCCCAGGGAAACUUGGAUUAAUACCCCUUAAUAUUAUGUGAUGGCAUCAUUAUAUAAUUAAAGCUCCGGCGCUUAAAGAU